UAUAAGAUUUUUUACAUCAACCUUUCCCUGUUGCUUGUUAAAAUUAUAUAAUUUCUCUUGAAAAUUAAAAAAUUACAUUUAAACCCGGUACCAUUAGCAUCUUAUUUGGAUUAAGCAGUUGCAGUUAAGUUCAUUGAAAAUUUUCAAAAACCCGAAAUUGCCCUUUUUAUCUACAGAUACUCAAUUCUCAGGUGCCGAGUUCAUCACCAUCCUUCUCCGGCAAAGGCUCCUCGAACGCGAGAUGGUAUACUUCGUGUUCGCUGUUGGGGAACCGUAGGCAACUUCUUGUAUGAACUCAAGACUUUUGAAACCCAUAUUUUUUCCCAAAUUAGGAUCUUCUCAGGCGACGGGCGAGAGACGAAGAAAGAGCAGGGAGGGACUCCGACUGACAAGUUGAAGGAACCAUUCCCAUAUAUCCCAUCGGAAUAAUCAAACAACCCUUCCAACGCCACAAAUCCACCGCCGGUUUUAUCUUCCUCGUCGCCAACGAUCCUAAAUCACAAUUGGCUUCUACUUUUCAUCCUGUUUGUGCAGAUUUGCAGCUCUUUUUGCUCUUGACGAGAUGGGUAGUUGGUGUCUACGUUUUUGCUAAGCUAACCCUAACUCUCUGUUUGUGAUCAUUGGUGUUUUGUGAUUUGGGGGUUCUUUGUAGUGUGGGUUUUUGAUUUUCUUGCAAAACAGUUCCAUUCAACUAAUGAAAAAGGAGGAGGAAGCACAUCAGAUAUAAUGAUGGCAGGUAAUGGAUAGCCGAACCAGGCUAUCUCCAAAAAGCUUUUGAACUCCACUGGCUGAGCAAACAGCCCACUAGGAUAGUAAUUGAGCUUUGUGGUUCAGGUGAACCUAAUGCUACUCUUGCUGAUAUCUGCAAUUUGCUAAUGGAUAAAUGACCUCUUCCUCUACAGGAAAAGGAAAAGGUUUCUCUUAUCAGGUCUGGAAAUUUACAUAAUAUUAGAGCAAGUUCUUUUCAAUGUUGGUUCGGUUAUGAAAUCCCAUCGACUCAUAUCCCUGAUGUCAUCAUCAAACCCCCAGAUCUAAUCCGGAGUUUUGGGGUUAAAGAAGUUCAUUGCAGCGAAUGGGGCGACCAUUACAGUACCUCGAGCUCCGAUUCCAAAUCCGACAACGAAGAGGACGAGAGAGACCGAGACAAGAGAUCAGAGAUUAGUUCUAGAUCGAAUUUUGGAUCUUCAUUUCACACUCAGACCACAGCGAAGCCGAAAUAUACACCAAUGGGGAAAUUUGAGAAAAUCGAAAGGAGAAAACUCAAGCUUGACAUGCGUACCGCCAUCGUGGGCAUGGCAUAAGAGGGCAGGAAACUGUUGGGGCCUUCUUCGCCUUCCACUUGCACCCAUAGCACGACCAUGGGAAAGAUCACUUGUUCCGCAGGCAUUUCAGGAUUCCAUUUCUGCAGAAUGGUGGCAUGACCAGCGUAGAUCCAUGGCUGAGAAAGAAGUAUAACCUGCAUGUCACGUUCAUUGCGCAACUUUAUCACAAAUCUAUCAGGGGCGUUAUCAACUAGAUGAAGUUCAAACCCUCGGAUGGGCUUCGAAUGCUCAGCUCUACUGAACAUAGCUCGUAGCUCCAUAAUGGAAAUAUGGACCCCAUCCAAAACCCAGACAACAAUAGAAUAUUGCAGAGAUUGAUCGGCCUUCAAAAGGGUUUCCUCCGAAACCUCCACCGGAUCCGGUUUCAUGUUCGGCAGUUCGAGUUUGGAUGCAAACUCCUCAGCAAGACGUUCUGCAAAUGACGAAGCCUGCACCUGGGAAAGAGCACUGUGAGCAGGAGGUAGAGUGGGAGUGGUCUCCAUGGGUUUGAAGCGUGGGACAUCUGAUUUCUUAGCUUAACUACGUUUACCUACCGGGAAAAUUAUUUAUUGCUGGAGAAGAUCAAUAAAAACACUAAGAGUGAAAGUGAAAUAAAGUUAACCACAUCAUCAACAGCAGUUGUCGUUAA
Macadamia integrifolia is the source of this 1950-nucleotide long non-coding RNA. RefSeq lists it as uncharacterized. The record is from RefSeq and is a predicted model, not a curated record. Lineage: Eukaryota; Viridiplantae; Streptophyta; Magnoliopsida; Proteales; Proteaceae. The transcript is spliced from 2 exons.